AUGGCCCGAACCAGCUCCAUGCCUUGGAGCCACAGAGCCACCGCAGGCACCUUCUGGCAACCAGAGUGGUCACAAUUUGAGCUGAAAGCUGAGCAGCUUGAAAAUGGACUUAUUUUGGCUGCAGCUGAACAUCCUCUGACUAUGAAAUGCUGCCACCAGAGAAUUCCAGGCAGAAUGGAGAGUGCCAGUGCCUACGAGGAAGAUGAGACAGAAAGGCAGAGCUCACGGUUACCUCGUGGCUCCAUGGUUGUCCCAAUUUCUUUAUAUAUUGGUGCCAAACUGCUAAAAUAUUGCACUUAGGCAAUGUCUGAUAAAACAGGUAUAUUUCUGAAAGCUUAAAAAAAUUAAAAAAAAAACACUAAGGUUUAAGAAUAUUUAACCUACAUGUCUCACUUGCAUAGUUUGUGUUUCAAGCAAAUAAUUUGUUUAAAAUACAAUUAUGUAUGAUAAAAAAAAAUCAGAUGAAUCAAUCAAAUUAAUCAGUCAAAGACUGGCAGUAUCGUGAAUUCACCCUUAAGAACAAUGAAUUAAGAAAAGCUAAUAAAGCUCUAUUUAAGAAAUAAAGAUAAUUAUUCUAACAUUUAGCAGAACUCUCUAAGGAUUUUUCUUUAAAUUUUCCCUGUUAAAACUUCUUGUGUCUCCUAAAUCCCAAUUUAAUUAUCUCUCUGCUUGCCAGACCCUGGAAGACAUGCUUGAGUCUGUUUUAUUCAAUUUAUAUUUGUCUUGGAGUUUUGCAACAACACACACACACACUAUCUUGUCCACUGGGGAGCUACCAAUACUGCCCACUGCAUUUGAAGAAAAGACAGACAGAAGAAAAAGAAAAUGAAGAAAAAACAACAACAAAACACCAUCAACAACAACAAAAAACACAUUAAUUUCUCUGAUUUGGGACUGAUUGUGUGAACACAGAGAGGUGGGUACAGCUCAUGCCUGCAUUUUGGAGUUGGCUUUCAUGGUUGAAGUGUAACUCACAUCUAACAGACUGUGGCUUCAUACAUCUCAUGCUAAAAUUCCAAUUCAUCAGGAAUUCAUUUAGGUUAAUUAAAGAUUUAGGAAGGUGUACACAGAGGAACAUUCCGGACCUGGGGCAACAUCCUGACCUUACGAGCUCAGUCAGAUUUUGUUACCAAUUUAGGUAGGAAAGGAUUCCCAUCUGGAUGGUCUCCCAUUUUCUCUUCUUGUGACCACCCUCAUGGUGGCCACAUGGUGCCAAGCAUCAUAGCAACAGCAGUCUGUUAUUAGAAAUUGAUGAAUUAAG
This 1261-nucleotide long non-coding RNA is filed under the name Anas zonorhyncha (Eastern spot-billed duck). RNAcentral describes it as "lncRNA (ENSAZOG00000008904.1)". The record is from RNAcentral. Lineage: Eukaryota; Metazoa; Chordata; Aves; Anseriformes; Anatidae.